UGGAAUUCAUCAAGGAAUUAUUUAUUGCCUUUAUUUUUCAUCAGCCAGCAAGAAUUUAGAAUCCAUUGGUAUUCUUCAAAAUCACCCUGUCUUGUGUAUUGGCAAGUUCACCCAGGUGAGGUGCCUGAGAGUACCUGAGGAUGCAUCGUCACUGGCAUGGCAUUAGGCAGGUGCCAGUCUCCAGAGAGACCUCCUCACAGUGGCUUUGCCCAAGGCAGCUUUCAGCACAAGUCUGGAGGGCAGCUUGUCAUGGGAUAUUAUUGGAGCUACAUGAAUUCACACCAGCUGUCGCGGUCUGUUUUAUCAAUGACCUUUCAUUCUUAAAGGCAGUGAAGAGGCACCGGGACCUGCUCUUUCCCCCCGACAUCAGUUUGCAGAGGGACAGCUCUGUGAGGGCCACGGGGGACAGGGACCCUGGGCAGGUGCGUCCCUCCGCGCUUGCUGCAGGGAGGGAGCGUCCCAG
RNAcentral lists this long non-coding RNA (463 nucleotides) under Cyanistes caeruleus (blue tit). RNAcentral describes it as "lncRNA (ENSCCEG00000002851.1)". Lineage: Eukaryota; Metazoa; Chordata; Aves; Passeriformes; Paridae. The record is from RNAcentral.